GGCGUCGAGCGGCGGACGGGUGAGUAAUGCCUAGGAAAUUGCCCUGAUGUGGGGGAUAACCAUUGGAAACGAUGGCUAAUACCGCAUGAUGCCUACGGGCCAAAGAGGGGGACCUUCGGGCCUCUCGCGUCAGGAUAUGCCUAGGUGGGAUUAGCUAGUUGGUGAGGUAAGGGCUCACCAAGGCGACGAUCCCUAGCUGGUCUGAGAGGAUGAUCAGCCACACUGGAACUGAGACACGGUCCAGACUCCUACGGGAGGCAGCAGUGGGGAAUAUUGCACAAUGGGCGCAAGCCUGAUGCAGCCAUGCCGCGUGUGUGAAGAAGGCCUUCGGGUUGUAAAGCACUUUCAGUCGUGAGGAAGGUGGUGUAGUUAAUAGCUGCAUUAUUUGACGUUAGCGACAGAAGAAGCACCGGCUAACUCCGUGCCAGCAGCCGCGGUAAUACGGAGGGUGCGAGCGUUAAUCGGAAUUACUGGGCGUAAAGCGCAUGCAGGUGGUUUGUUAAGUCAGAUGUGAAAGCCCGGGGCUCAACCUCGGAAUAGCAUUUGAAACUGGCAGACUAGAGUACUGUAGAGGGGGGUAGAAUUUCAGGUGUAGCGGUGAAAUGCGUAGAGAUCUGAAGGAAUACCGGUGGCGAAGGCGGCCCCCUGGACAGAUACUGACACUCAGAUGCGAAAGCGUGGGGAGCAAACAGGAUUAGAUACCCUGGUAGUCCACGCCGUAAACGAUGUCUACUUGGAGGUUGUGGCCUUGAGCCGUGGCUUUCGGAGCUAACGCGUUAAGUAGACCGCCUGGGGAGUACGGUCGCAAGAUUAAAACUCAAAUGAAUUGACGGGGGCCCGCACAAGCGGUGGAGCAUGUGGUUUAAUUCGAUGCAACGCGAAGAACCUUACCUACUCUUGACAUCCAGAGAACUUUCCAGAGAUGGAUUGGUGCCUUCGGGAACUCUGAGACAGGUGCUGCAUGGCUGUCGUCAGCUCGUGUUGUGAAAUGUUGGGUUAAGUCCCGCAACGAGCGCAACCCUUAUCCUUGUUUGCCAGCGAGUAAUGUCGGGAACUCCAGGGAGACUGCCGGUGAUAAACCGGAGGAAGGUGGGGACGACGUCAAGUCAUCAUGGCCCUUACGAGUAGGGCUACACACGUGCUACAAUGGCGCAUACAGAGGGCGGCCAACUUGCGAAAGUGAGCGAAUCCCAAAAAGUGCGUCGUAGUCCGGAUUGGAGUCUGCAACUCGACUCCAUGAAGUCGGAAUCGCUAGUAAUCGUGGAUCAGAAUGCCACGGUGAAUAC
RNAcentral lists this ribosomal RNA (1286 nucleotides) under Vibrio sp. Its description in RNAcentral is "bacterial SSU rRNA". It matches the Rfam family "Bacterial small subunit ribosomal RNA", at positions 87 to 1369 of the family's 1533-position model. Lineage: Bacteria; Pseudomonadati; Pseudomonadota; Gammaproteobacteria; Vibrionales; Vibrionaceae. The record is from RNAcentral.